UGGAUUUAAAAUUCCGGUGGUACGGGACGGGCACGCGCGACAUUAGGUAGUUGGCGGGGUAACGGCCCACCAAGCCGACGAUGUCUAGGGGUUCUGAGAGGAAGGUCCCCCACACUGGAACUGAGACACGGUCCAGACUCCUACGGGAGGCAGCAGUGAGGAAUAUUGGUCAAUGGGCGAGAGCCUGAACCAGCCAAGUCGCGUGAGGGAAGAAUGGUCUAUGGCCUGUAAACCUCUUUUGUCAAGGAAGAAUAGACGGCACGCGUGCUGUUUUGCCAGUACUUGACGAAUAAGCAUCGGCUAACUCCGUGCCAGCAGCCGCGGUAAUACGGGGGAUGCGAGCGUUAUCCGGAUUUAUUGGGUUUAAAGGGCGCGUAGGCGGGACGCCAAGUCAGCGGUAAAAGACUGCAGCUAAACUGUAGCACGCCGUUGAAACUGGCGACCUGGAGACGAGACGAGGGAGGCGGAACAAGUGAAGUAGCGGUGAAAUGCUUAGAUAUCACUUGGAACCCCGAUAGCGAAGGCAGCUUCCCAGGCUCGAUCUGACGCUGAUGCGCGAGAGCGUGGGUAGCGAACAGGAUUAGAUACCCUGGUAGUCCACGCCGUAAACGAUGCUCACUGGAUCUUGGCGAUACACUGCCAGGGUUCAAGCGAAAGUAUUAAGUGAGCCACCUGGGGAGUACGUCGGCAACGAUGAAACUCAAAGGAAUUGACGGGGGCCCGCACAAGCGGAGGAACAUGUGGUUUAAUUCGAUGAUACGCGAGGAACCUUACCCGGGUUUAAAUGUGGAGUGCAUGAGCUGGAAACAGUUCUUUCCCUCGGGACUCUUCACAAGGUGCUGCAUGGUUGUCGUCAGCUCGUGCCGUGAGGUGUCGGGUUAAGUCCCAUAACGAGCGCAACCCCUAUCGCCAGUUGCCAGCGGCUGAGGCCGGGCACUCUGUCGAGACUGCCACCGUAAGGUGCGAGGAAGGCGGGGAUGACGUCAAAUCAGCACGGCCCUUACACCCGGGGCGACACACGUGUUACAAUGGCCGGUACAGAGGGCAGCCACGGGGUGACCCGGAGCGAAUCUCUAAAGCCGGUCGUAGUUCGGACUGGAGUCUGCAACCCGACUCCACGAAGUUGGAUUCGCUAGUAAUCGCGCAUCAGCCAUGGCGCGGUGAAUACGUUCCCGGGCCUUGUACACACCGCCCGUCAAGCCAUGGAAGCCGGGAGUACCUGAAGAUCGUGACCGCGAGGAACGGGCUAGGGUAAUACCGGUAACUGGGGCUAAGUCGUAACAAGGUAGCCGUACCGGAAGGUGCGGCUGGAACACCUCCUUUCUGGAGC
RNAcentral lists this ribosomal RNA (1330 nucleotides) under Odoribacter sp. AF21-41. RNAcentral's name for it is "bacterial SSU rRNA". It matches the Rfam family "Bacterial small subunit ribosomal RNA", at positions 196 to 1533 of the family's 1533-position model. The record is from RNAcentral. Lineage: Bacteria; Pseudomonadati; Bacteroidota; Bacteroidia; Bacteroidales; Odoribacteraceae.